GAGAUAAUUCACUCUGGAAAUGUACAAAUCAGUUGUGCAGCCAUUACCAUGAUCUAAUUAUAGAACAUUUCUGUCACCUUAGAAACACAUGCCCAUUAGCAGACACUUCUAAGUUUCCCCACCCACUACCUUACACAUACACCUGCCCCUGCAGCCAUUGAUCUUUAUGUCUAUAGGCUGGUCAGUUUGGGACUUUGCCUAUAAAUGGAAUUCAACAUAUAGCCUUUUAUAGCUGGAUUCUUUCAUUUAGUUAUGUUUUUGAGGCAGUCUUGCUAUGUAGUUCAGGCUGACCUUGAGCUCACUAUAUUGCCCAGGCUGCAAUCCUCCUGCCUCAGCCUCCCAAGUGCUGAGAUUACAGGUGUGUGCUAUAAUGCCCAGCUUUCAUUCCUUUUUUUCCCUUAAUAUUCCACUGUAUGACUAUAUCACAUUUUGUCCAUCAGUUGAUGGUCAUUUGGACUGUUCACUUCUUAGCUAUUAGGAAUCAUAUUGAUGCAAACAUUUGUCUAUAAAUUUUGUGUUUUCAGUUUCCCUGGGCUGCUGAGUUAUUUGGUCACUUUUUUUGUUUUUUGGCCACAUUUUCACCAUUGUACAUUCCCACCAACAGUGCUUUUGCCAUAUAUUCUUUUUUUAGCCAGCCUGGUGGGUGUAAAGUGGUCACAGCUUACAGAUGUCUGCUUUCUUGUAUAAGUAGUGGUGAAUUGGAGAAUAGCCCACUGAUGUUUUAGAUUGUAAAUUCAGUCAAUGAUUGAUCCAGUAAGUAUGAGGAGCACAGCCUAUACCUAGCAGAAUUAACACAGUCUGCCUCCGCCGUUGACCAGCCUUUAACCUUGAGGUAGGUCACCUUUCUGACUAAAUUUUCUCAUCGAUAGUAAUAACUAUCCAGUCCAUGGAGUGGUGGGCACUACUUCAGGGAGCAUUUCCACCUACCCCAGUGUCCCAGGCACUGUGGGAUUAGGGCAGGGCUCCAAAGUGAAGUGGCUUGGAGGAGCUCACAGUGUUGAGUUUGGGCUUGGGUGGUGUAGAACUGCCAUAGGAUAUGGCUCUGUGUGCUGAGUGUCAGGCUCCAUCCGUGAGGACAAGAGGUGUGUCACCCAGAUCCUUAAGGGAAUAAUCUGGAACACUGAACUAUGCCAGUGGAAUGGUUCUCAUGAAUCCCCAUGUAGCCCACUUCGGCUGUCCUUCCAGCACCAGCUCCUGGUUUUUUUGAUAAAUACCUGCUCUGAGCCACCUACUCCCUAUCAGCCAGGAACUUGGCCCAGAAGAGGCACUUGACAGGUGCAUCAGCAUGGUAGCUGGCCUGAGGAGGGUGAACUGCAGGGGCCAUGGUGCCCAGAGAAAAUAGGGACAGAGGAGGUAAAGAGGAGACUAGAGGAGGGGAAGUCUGAAGGACCAUCCUGAGUCCACCACUCCGCCUGACCUGACCCUUGCCUUCCCCAGCCAGGCUGCAGCCUCUUUGGCAGCCUGCUUACCACCUGAUGUUCAGAGAUCUUUGCUUCAGGGAAGCCCUGCCUGAGGACCCACAGGAGGUCCAAUGGUUCAGUCUCCACAGAGAUCUUUGAAAUCUGUAGAACAGAUUAUACCGUGCCCCAGGUCACUCUGGAGACUUAACUGCACUUAAGGUAUCAUCCAGACACCUGUCCUUGGCCUGUGAUUGUUCUCCAUCUGCCGCUCCUU
Molecule: long non-coding RNA, 1674 nt
Organism: Heterocephalus glaber (naked mole-rat)
Lineage: Eukaryota; Metazoa; Chordata; Mammalia; Rodentia; Bathyergidae
Source: Ensembl